Molecule: ribosomal RNA, 334 nt
Filed under: uncultured eukaryote
Lineage: Eukaryota
Description: partial 18S ribosomal RNA
Rfam family: Eukaryotic small subunit ribosomal RNA
Source: RNAcentral
CCCUUAGAUGUCCGGGGCCGCACGCGCGCUACACUGAAGGAAUCAGCGUGGCUUUCUCCCUGACCCGAAAGGGUUGGGAAACCCGUUGAAUCUCAUUCGUGAUUGGGAUAGGGACUUGCAAUUGUUUCCCUUGAACGAGGAAUUCCCAGUAAGCGCAAGUCAUCAGCUUGCGUUGAUUACGUCCCUGCCCUUUGUACACACCGCCCGUCGCUACUACCGAUUGAAUGGUUUAGUGAGAUCCUUGGAUCGGCCCUGUCGCGGCUGGCAACGGCCGCGUCGGCGCGUCGAGAAGACGAUCAAACUUGAUCAUUUAGAGGAAGUAAAAGUCGUAACA